RNAcentral lists this ribosomal RNA (253 nucleotides) under uncultured bacterium. RNAcentral's name for it is "partial 16S ribosomal RNA". It matches the Rfam family "Bacterial small subunit ribosomal RNA", at positions 524 to 776 of the family's 1533-position model. The record is from RNAcentral.
UACAGAGGGUGCAAGCGUUGCUCGGAAUUAUUGGGCGUAAAGGGCAAGUAGGUGGUCUCAUUUGUCUGGGGUGAAAGCCUUGAGCUUAACUCAAGAAGUGCCCCGGAAACGGUGAGACUCGAGUACUGGAGAGGGUCGUGGAAUUCCCGGUGUAGCGGUGAAAUGCGUAGAGAUCGGGAGGAACACCAGAGGCGAAGGCGGCGACCUGGACAGUUACUGACACUCAACUGCGAAAGCGUGGGGAGCAAACAGG